GAACCUGUGGCGUCCAUUUCUAAUGACGCUUACCCAGCAUGCUCUCGAAGACGCAACCGUGCUGUUCAAGACUUCAUUACUUAUUCAUUGUGUGUGCAGAGAGAGAAGGGUAUAGAGGACGAGACAGGCCAAAAUAUUUAAGAAAUGUCAGUCAUGUGAUUGAUGGAAAUGGAGGCAGUCGAUAGAUGAGGAGAACAGAAGAGAAAAGAUUUUUCCAGGAAUAACAUCUACUUGAAUAAAGAUAUUGACACAAAGCCCACUUACAAUGAAAAAGGGGGUGACUUCACGAUCAA
Rattus rattus (black rat) is the source of this 293-nucleotide long non-coding RNA. RefSeq lists it as uncharacterized. The transcript is spliced from 3 exons. Lineage: Eukaryota; Metazoa; Chordata; Mammalia; Rodentia; Muridae. The record is from RefSeq and is a predicted model, not a curated record.